GGGAAUGUGGCUCAGUGGUAGAGCACUUGCUGAGCAUGCAGGAAGCGCUGGGUUCGAUUCCUCAGUACCA
Molecule: transfer RNA, 70 nt
Filed under: Dipodomys ordii (Ord's kangaroo rat)
Lineage: Eukaryota; Metazoa; Chordata; Mammalia; Rodentia; Heteromyidae
Rfam family: tRNA
About the family: Transfer RNA (tRNA) molecules are approximately 80 nucleotides in length. Their secondary structure includes four short double-helical elements and three loops (D, anti-codon, and T loops).
Source: Rfam by way of RNAcentral